GAUGAAGAACGCAGCGAAAUGCGAUAAGUAGUGUGAAUUGCAGAAUUCAGUGAAUCAUCGAAUCUUUGAACGCACAUUGCGCCCCUUGGUAUUCCAUGGGGCAUGCCUGUUCGAGCGUCAUUUCAACCCUCGAGCCCCCCCGGGGGCCUCGGUGUUGGGGGACGGCACACCAGCCGCCCCCGAAAUGCAGUGGCGACCCCGCCGCAGCCUCCCCUGCGUAGUAGCACACACCUCGCACCGGAGCGCGGAGGCGGUCACGCCGUAAAACGCCCAACUUUCUUAGAGUUGACCUCGGAUCAGGUAGGAAUACCCGCUGAACUUAAGCAUAUCAAUAAGCGGAGGA
RNAcentral lists this unclassified non-coding RNA (343 nucleotides) under soil metagenome. Its description in RNAcentral is "partial contains 5.8S ribosomal RNA, internal transcribed spacer 2, and large subunit ribosomal RNA". The stretch from base 1 to 120 matches the Rfam family "5.8S ribosomal RNA", at positions 35 to 154 of the family's 154-position model. The record is from RNAcentral.